Molecule: long non-coding RNA, 1717 nt
Organism: Peromyscus eremicus (cactus mouse)
Lineage: Eukaryota; Metazoa; Chordata; Mammalia; Rodentia; Cricetidae
Exons: 3
Source: RefSeq, a predicted model, not a curated record
CUUUCCCGGAUCAGGAAGGAUCCGUGCGUGUUCCCGGGCGCCAAAAGCUGCCGCUCCGCGUCCUUACGGCUCAGACUCUUGAAGAACCAGCUGCAUAGGGCAGAAACAAGACCUUUGGCUGUUGGUUGACUUUUUUUUUUUUUUAAAUCUGUGUAGCCCUGGCUGGCCUCGAGCUCAAAGAUCUGCCUGCCCCUGCCUCCGGAGUGGUGGCAUUAAUGGCCAAUUCUUCCUCCAUCACUGUCAACAUCCUCCACCCCCAUGACCACGCCCUGCUCUGAGAUCCCUAGACGUCUUCCCCCAUCCCCAUGCGGUCCCCUGCUCACGGUUCAGGCUCCAGGCUGUUUGCUUUCGCCACGAAGUUGAAGGGGAUGAAGCCUUCUUGGCCGGUGGUCAGAGACUGAGCCUUCCACCACUCACCGCUCCUGUGUGUGCCACAGAGACCAUGAACAUGGCCUACAUAGCCACUGGAAACACUCAGAGUCCUCGGUUAGGCCAGGCCACCACCGCUUCCUGGUCUCCAUCAUGCGAGGGCUCAUAGCUGUGCAGGGCGAUAACCAGGUUGUCUGUAAAGACAGGAAGAGUCAAGAAGAACCAGCCCGGGGCUGACAGGAACAGUGGAGAUCUAGAGGCGCAGGGCAGGAUGCCGACAAGGUGGAGGUCAUCUUCAGGGUUUGAGCUGCAGCCACAGCCCAUGAUCCCUGAAGGAACGCAGAGAGGCUUGAAGGAGCUCCCCUAAGUCGGUUCCCCCAACAUCAGACAUCCUAGAGCACUGCCCUGGAGUUUACAGAACGCCUUAGAUCAACGCCUUAGAUCGUCCGCUCUGGGGCUCCCAUGGCCAUGUACAGAAGAACUGAAAUGUGGAAUUUCAGCUCCUGACUUUCACUCUGAGCCCUCAAGCAACAAGUUAAGUUCGCGGGAGGCCCAGGCCCAAGGCUAGUUCCCACCCUCCCACCUGGGAUGGGUAAACCGCCACAGGCACUUUGUUAGUGUAGUUACCCACUUCCUGCCUCCUCAGCCCGCUGGUCCCCCCCUUUGGAGGAUUACCUGGAAGAUAUCACACACAUUUUGCCAAGCCCUGGGGGAAACCUAAAUUUUAAUUCCACUCUCCUCGCCAAGGAGGGUUCAUGUCCCUUCUAAUGACAACUCCCCUGCCUGGAUACUGAAACUGAGAGGCUCCUGUUCCUUAGAGUCAACCUUUGACCUCUGCGGCCCCCAGCACCCCACCCCCACUCACAGCACAGGCUCCUUCAGAGGGUUUCUUCUAACAUGCUUUUGCUUCUCACCAGCAGAAGGAAACCCUUCAGUGGCCCUGUUGCCUGUAACAACAUUUGCUUGCCUGUUUGUCUGAGCUGUGGAAACUUCUUGUCAAAUGAAAUCAAGCAGGACCUCACAGAUACAGCAAGUAAAGCAGAACUGUUCUCAAUCAAGUCAGAGUGGGCCUCCCUCCGGAGCCUCUGGAAUCCGCGUGGACCUCCUUCCCUGAAGCUGUUCCUCAGAACUGCUUGGAAAGCAUUGGUCCUCAAAGAAUGAUUUACCAUGGGGAGGAAAUUUAAAUGGCUUUUUUCUUUUUAAAGAUAAGGUCUUACUUAUGUAGCUGUGGCUGGCCUGGAGGCCUGGAACUCACUAUGUAGACCACUGUAGACAAGGCUGGCCUCAAGUUUGCAGAGAUCUGCCUGCCUCUGAGUGCUGGGGAUUAAUAAAGGUGUAGAAUAUCAUG